CAUGGCCCUUACGGCCAGGGCUACACACGUACUACAAUGGUAGGGACAGAGGGCUGCAAGCCGGCGACGGUAAGCCAAUCCCAGAAACCCUAUCUCAGUCCGGAUUGGAGUCUGCAACUCGACUCCAUGAAGUCGGAAUCGCUAGUAAUCGCAGAUCAGCAUUGCUGCGGUGAAUACGUUCCCGGGCCUUGUACACACCGCCCGUCACACCAUGGGAGUUUGUUGCACCAGAAGCAGGUAGCUUAACCUUCGGGAGGGCGCUUGCCACGGUGUGGCCGAUGACUGGGGUGAAGUCGUAACAAGGUAGCCGUAUCGGAAGGUGCGGCUGGAUCA
This 333-nucleotide ribosomal RNA is filed under the name Stenotrophomonas maltophilia. Its description in RNAcentral is "bacterial SSU rRNA". It matches the Rfam family "Bacterial small subunit ribosomal RNA", at positions 1194 to 1525 of the family's 1533-position model. Lineage: Bacteria; Pseudomonadati; Pseudomonadota; Gammaproteobacteria; Lysobacterales; Lysobacteraceae. The record is from RNAcentral.